AUGGGUUCGACCUGAGCUCGGGCAAGGCUACC
RNAcentral lists this ribosomal RNA (32 nucleotides) under Desmodesmus communis. RNAcentral describes it as "partial 26S ribosomal RNA". The record is from RNAcentral. Lineage: Eukaryota; Viridiplantae; Chlorophyta; Chlorophyceae; Sphaeropleales; Scenedesmaceae.